AGCUUUUGCAUAGUGGCAGUAUUGUAGCCAAUAAGGUUUACCCAAGGCGCAAUUAUUACUAAUUGAAAACUUUUCCCAAAACA
This 83-nucleotide small nuclear RNA is filed under the name Dasypus novemcinctus (nine-banded armadillo). RNAcentral's name for it is "U4 spliceosomal RNA (ENSDNOG00000026918.1)". It matches the Rfam family "U4 spliceosomal RNA", at positions 1 to 82 of the family's 138-position model. From Rfam's summary of the family: U4 small nuclear RNA (U4 snRNA) is a component of the major U2-dependent spliceosome. The structure of U4 snRNA from yeast and human has been reported. Lineage: Eukaryota; Metazoa; Chordata; Mammalia; Cingulata; Dasypodidae. The record is from RNAcentral.